UUUUCUCAAAUUUUCUAUCAAGAACACCCCUUAGGGUUUCAAACAAAAAUCCCAAAUAACUCAAGAUUCAACUGUGGGUUUUGGAAGAUAAUUGGAGAUUUGGAAUCCCCACAUCGUAGGCUUCAAGGAUCAUCCCUCAAUUUCUUAAAUAGAGGUAUGUGGGGUUAUAUUGUGUAUCCGUUAUAUUGUUUUCAUAUGAUUCUUGACCAUGUUUCCGUUAUAUUGUGUAUCUUCCGCAUUUCCAUUGUCAUAUAGGUCAUGUGCAUGAUUACCAGACAGAUAGGGGUGUUCCGGGCCUUUAUGGUUCGGAAUACUCGUCACGACCAGGGCCUCGGUUCGGGUCGUGACAUUCGGAUUCUUUUAUUUCCUUAUUUUUCUUUAGCUGCAGGCAGUGCACAAGAAACCGUCUUUCUUCAGUCUGUUGCAUGCUUAUACUAAUAGAUAUCCCAAUGGUGUCAAACUUGGAGAGAAUUCAUCCAAGUCGGGAGAGGCGGAAUUUCAGAGUGGGGAGCCGCCUCUGUUGAUGCAAUGCCGGCUAUUCUACAAUGGUCUUGCUGUAAAAGGAACCCUUCUAGUCAAUAGAAAGCUGCCACGGCGCACAAUUCAGAUUAGGCCCUCAAUGAUCAAGGUCGAGGCAGAUCCAAGGCUGUCAAGAGCUCAAAUAUUUAAAUCGUUGGAAAUAAAUACACCCAGGUGUUCCCGUGGAGUAUUUCUUUGAUAUUCUGAAGAAUACUUUGGAGGAAACACAAAGAUUACACUCAGAUGAGGUGACAGCUCUAAAAGGAUGGUUUAUACUUCAAGGCUUGUGGUUCUCGGGUUACCAACAAUGUAUGCAUCCAAGCAACUUUCCACACGCGGGGUUUCUUUAAGUCAUGCUCAAAAUGGGCCUUCCUUGCAUAUCCUUGUGCUCUCGGGGCGAUCAAGUGUUGAGCCUUUAGGUGUUGGCCUCCAAUGACGUCAUCAAAAGCUAAGGAGGCCAUUUGACUUGUAUCAACAAAUCCAGAACGCAGUUCAUAGCAUCUGAAGUCUUCAAUCCUUAGCAAACUUUAGUCGGAAUCAGAAUCACUUCGACUAAGUUUACAUUCAGCUGUAGCAAAAAGAACAUAAAGGGUCAGCUAUAAACUUCAAAAUUCUUUGAAAUUUCAAAGGAAAUUAUUGUACUCACCUGGAUCGUUGUAAAGAACGAAUGUUUACACCUUUGCUUCCCA
RNA transcript from Capsicum annuum, 1208 nucleotides. It is a transcript of the gene named probable RNA-dependent RNA polymerase 3, with no coding region annotated. NCBI's taxonomy places the organism in Eukaryota, Viridiplantae, Streptophyta, Magnoliopsida, Solanales, Solanaceae. The record is from RefSeq and is a predicted model, not a curated record. The transcript is spliced from 6 exons.